UCAGACGAUGCGUCAUGCAUAUCAAUAAGCGGAGGAAAAGAAACUAACAAGGAUUCCCUUAGUAACGGCGAGUGAAGCGGGAAGAGCUCAAAUUUGAAAUCUUCAAGGUUUUACCUUGACGAAUUGUAGUUUAAAGAAGUGUUUUCUGCUGAAGUCUUGGUAAAAGUUCUUUGGAAUAGGACAUCAUAGAGGGUGAGAAUCCCGUAUUUGACCAUUAUUUUCAGCUUUGUGAUACACUUUCAAAGAGUCGGAUUGUUUGGGAAUGCAGUCCAAAAUGGGUGGUAAAUUUCAUCUAAAGCUAAAUAUUGGCGAGAGACCGAUAGCGAACAAGUACCGUGAGGGAAAGAUGAAAAGAACUUUGAAAAGAGAGUUAAACAGUACGUGAAAUUGUCAAAAGGGAAGCGUUUGACACCAGUGUUGUUUUCUCGAAAAUCAAUUAAAAAUGGCUCGAUCUUGUAUUGCUUGAGACCUUAAAAGCUCACUGUACAUUUUUCGUGUCUUUUUUAAUGCACUUUUCGUUUAACAAGUCAACAUCAGUUUCUUUUGUUGUAAAAGGGUCAUUGGAAGGUGGCUUUCUUUUCGGAGAAAGUGUUUAUAGCCUUUGGCCUCUGCAAUCGGAGAGACUGAGGUCUGCAGCGUAGACUCUUCGGGGUUAGAUACAUUUGUGCUAAGUUAUAGCUUUUUAUAGACAACUUGUUGACUAUAAUUAGUCUUGUAGCUUACUCGCUUAUGCUAUUUUACCUACGCUUAGGAUGUUGACGAUCAGCUGAGCGCG
Molecule: ribosomal RNA, 775 nt
Filed under: uncultured Neocallimastigales
Lineage: Eukaryota; Fungi; Neocallimastigomycota; Neocallimastigomycetes; Neocallimastigales
Description: partial large subunit ribosomal RNA
Rfam family: Eukaryotic large subunit ribosomal RNA
Source: RNAcentral